Molecule: long non-coding RNA, 377 nt
Filed under: Gallus gallus (chicken)
Lineage: Eukaryota; Metazoa; Chordata; Aves; Galliformes; Phasianidae
Description: long non-coding RNA NONGGAT008347
Source: RNAcentral
UGUAACUUCUUGAAGUAGUUUCCUCCGUUUUGAAAGAGGAGGCUCCUGGGUAGUGAGCUGAAGUGGCGGACCACCAGCUUCAGAGGAAGACACAUGAAAGAGGCAAGGACUUCACGUAUAGCCUGGCACCUUGUUAGGCUGCCCAUGCAUUGUCUCCCCAGAAGUAUACCUGCAACCACCUAAGAGCCCAAGCCUGUAAGAUCUGAAACCUUUUGCACAGUAUGUGGUUGGCUGAGGGACCAGAGAAGCCAGCUGUGCAGCUCAGUUCCUCUCUCUUCACAAGCAGAGUUUCCUAGUUGAGGUGCUUUCCUCCUCCUCUAUCUUCAGCUGCUCCAAAGGAUGCCUGGAACAAAACGGCCUUCAAAUGCUUCUCUCUG